AAUUCUCAAAGGCCCAGUUGGUUUUAACAAUCGAUCGGGACUUUGGACUGUGAGGGUUGCCGGUUCUUAACUGGAUCGGACUCCCUUGAAAUACAUUAGUGGUUAUCGAUCCGCUUCCACUUGGUUGUGAUAGGUCUAUCUACGCCUUUGGAGCUGGUCAGCUUGCUAUCCGCUUCUAACUGUCCAUCCGAUGGACAACUCUUUGACAAU
RNAcentral lists this unclassified non-coding RNA (210 nucleotides) under uncultured Porotheleum. RNAcentral describes it as "sequence contains ITS2". Lineage: Eukaryota; Fungi; Basidiomycota; Agaricomycetes; Agaricales; Schizophyllaceae. The record is from RNAcentral.